This 433-nucleotide unclassified non-coding RNA is filed under the name soil metagenome. RNAcentral describes it as "partial contains 5.8S ribosomal RNA, internal transcribed spacer 2, and large subunit ribosomal RNA". The stretch from base 1 to 120 matches the Rfam family "5.8S ribosomal RNA", at positions 35 to 154 of the family's 154-position model. The record is from RNAcentral.
GAUGAAGAACGUAGCGAAAUGCGAUACGUAAUGUGAAUUGCAGAAUUCAGUGAAUCAUCGAAUCUUUGAACGCAUAUUGCGCUCUCUGGUAUUCCGGAGAGCAUGCUUGUUUGAGUAUCAGUAAACACCUCAACUUCCAUAUCUUUUUCGAAAUGGGAGUUGGACUUGAGUGAUCCCAACGCUUUUCCUCACCGAAAAGUGGCGGGUUACUUGAAAUGCAGGUGCAGCUGGACUUUUCUCUGAGCUAUAAGCAUAUCUAUUUAGUCUGCCUAAAAAACAGAUUAUUACCUUUGCUGCAGCUAACAUAAAGGAGAUUAGUUCUUGUGCUGACUGAUGCAGGAUUCACAAAGACAGGCUUCGGCCGACUUUGUAAACUCGAUCUCAAAUCAAGUAAGACUACCCGCUGAACUUAAGCAUAUCAAUAAGCGGAGGA